GACGAACGCUGGCGGCGUGCCUAAUACAUGCAAGUUGAGCGCUGAAGGUUGGUCCUUGUACCAACUGGAUGAGCAGCGAACGGGUGAGUAACGCGUGGGGAAUCUGCCUUUGAGCGGGGGACAACAUUUGGAAACGAAUGCUAAUACCGCAUAAAAACUUUAAACACAAGUUUUAAGUUUGAAAGAUGCAAUUGCAUCACUCAAAGAUGAUCCCGCGUUGUAUUAGCUAGUUGGUGAGGUAAAGGCUCACCAAGGCGAUGAUACAUAGCCGACCUGAGAGGGUGAUCGGCCACAUUGGGACGGAGACACGGCCCAAACUCCUACGGGAGGCAGCAGUAGGGAAUCUUCGGCAAUGGACGAAAGUCUGACCGAGCAACGCCGCGUGAGUGAAGAAGGUUGUCGGAUCGUAAAACUCUGUUGGUAGAGAAGAACGUUGGUGAGAGUGGAAAGCUCAUCAAGUGACGGUAACUACACAGAAAGGGACGGCUAACUACGUG
RNAcentral lists this ribosomal RNA (497 nucleotides) under uncultured bacterium. RNAcentral describes it as "partial 16S ribosomal RNA". It matches the Rfam family "Bacterial small subunit ribosomal RNA", at positions 28 to 507 of the family's 1533-position model. The record is from RNAcentral.